This is a long non-coding RNA of Vicia villosa (hairy vetch), 1043 nucleotides long. RefSeq lists it as uncharacterized. NCBI's taxonomy places the organism in Eukaryota, Viridiplantae, Streptophyta, Magnoliopsida, Fabales, Fabaceae. The transcript is spliced from 3 exons. The record is from RefSeq and is a predicted model, not a curated record.
CUCUAAAAUCUAGCUUUCAAAACCUCAUACAAAUUUGUUCAUCUCUCUCCCCUAUUUCAAUUAAAGCAUUAAGGAAUAGUAAGAGGAUUCAAUUUCAAUGAGAAAUAGAUUAGAGGGUUGAUUUAGGAAUUUAGGGUUAUUAGUUACGUGAGUUCGAUUUAGUUUUGAUUUCAUAAAAGACUUAGCAGAUACAAAUAAUAUUAACUGUGGAAUAUCUUAGAUCCUAUUCUGAGAGAAAAAUCAUAAUUACUGUCUGAGUUUGAUUUAACUGUAGGUUUUGUCGAAGAUUACUAAGGAAAAGUGUUAUGGGUCUUCUUUGUAGGUGAGUAUUUUUGUUUAUUGCAAUUUUGUAAAGGAACUUUUGUCUAUAUAGAUUUUAUUAGUGUUGGUGUUUAUUGGAAAGUUUUGUUAAUGUAGGUAUAUUGUCAUUAUGCUCUACUUGGAAUCUCAGUUCCACAUGUUCUUGUUGAGCUCCUCUGUUUGACCUUGUUAACCUUUGUAGUUUCAGGAGAUUGAACAAGAGUAAAAGUGAUUCUAGUCUUGUGAAACUCCGAUGUAAUUGAAAAAUGGUCAAAAUGUGAACAAGGAUCCUACACUUUUUGGAUCUAUUCCAAAUACACCAUUACUUUUCUGAAUUUCCCAAUACACACUCCAAGAUCGGAUAAUCUCUCCACAUUACCUUCCAUUCACAUAUACUUUGAAGAUUAUGUUGUGAUGAGAUCUUAGGGGAAACAUGAAACAAGGAUAGAUGCAGCCAUUGGUAAUACUCAUCAACGAAACUUUAUAGAUGCAAGUGUAUUGAGCUCGGACAACAAACUUAAAAUUUGUGAGCAACUCUCUAUUUUUCCGCUCCUAUUUUGUUCGCUACUUUGAUGUCUCUAUUCUUCUGUCUUGCGAGCUGUUUUAGUAAUGGGGCUGCUUACUGAGUGUUAAUUUUAUUUUUUCUUGGAUUGGGUAUAGUUUUAAUCUUAAUCUUAUUGUAAUUGGUUGAUUUUGUCGAGGCUAUGUAAUAUUUGCGUGGGAGAAUUUUGUAUUUUAUCUUU